This 492-nucleotide ribosomal RNA is filed under the name uncultured bacterium. RNAcentral's name for it is "partial 16S ribosomal RNA". It matches the Rfam family "Bacterial small subunit ribosomal RNA", at positions 30 to 507 of the family's 1533-position model. The record is from RNAcentral.
AUUGAACGCUGGCGGCAGGCCUAACACAUGCAAGUCGAACGGCUGAAGGGUGCGUGCUCCUGGUUUCAGCGGCGGACGGGCGAGUAAUGCCUAGGAACCUGCCUAUCUGCUUGUUCGAACGUCCGAACACGGGGGCUCAUACGCCAAUACCCCUUACGGCCAACGGGGGGGAGCUUCGGAUCUUCCGCUAUCGGAUGAGUGUAGGUCGCGAGGUCGGAUUAGCUAGUUGGUGGGGUAAAGGCCCACCAAGGCGACGAUCCGUAGCUGGUCUGAGAGGAUGAUCAGCCACACUGGAACUGAGACACGGUCCAGACUCCUACGGGAGGCAGCAGUGGGGAAUAUUGGACAAUGGGCGCAAGCCUGAUCCAGCCAUGCCGCGUGUGUGAAGAAGGUCUUCGGAUUGUAAAGCACUUUAAUUGGGGAGGAAAGGCAGUAAGUUAAUACCUCGCUGUUUUGACGUUACCAACAGAAUAAGCACCGGCUAACUUCGUG